Molecule: ribosomal RNA, 496 nt
Filed under: uncultured bacterium
Lineage: Bacteria
Description: partial 16S ribosomal RNA
Rfam family: Bacterial small subunit ribosomal RNA
Source: RNAcentral
AUUAACGCUGGCGGCGUGCCUAAUACAUGCAAGUCGAGCGAACAGACGAGGAGCUUGCUCCUCUGACGUUAGCGGCGGACGGGUGAGUAACACGUGGCUAACCUACCUAUAAGACUGGGAUAACUUCGGGAAACCGGAGCUAAUACCGGAUAAUAUAUUGAACCGCAUGGUUCAAUAGUGAAAGACGGUUUUGCUGUCACUUAUAGAUGGAUCCGCGCCGCAUUAGCUAGUUGGUAAGGUAACGGCUUACCAAGGCAACGAUGCGUAGCCGACCUGAGAGGGUGAUCGGCCACACUGGAACUGAGACACGGUCCAGACUCCUACGGGAGGCAGCAGUAGGGAAUCUUCCGCAAUGGGCGAAAGCCUGACGGAGCAACGCCGCGUGAGUGAUGAAGGUCUUCGGAUCGUAAAACUCUGUUAUUAGGGAAGAACAAAUGUGUAAGUAACUAUGCACGUCUUGACGGUACCUAAUCAGAAAGCCACGGCUAACUACGUG